UACGGAGGGUGCAAGCGUUAUCCGGAUUUACUGGGUUUAAAGGGUGCGUAGGUGGGUUGGUAAGUCAGUGGUGAAAUCUUCGAGCUUAACUCGGAAACUACCAUUGAUACUAUUAAUCUUGAAUUAUCUGGAGGUAAGCGGAAUAUGUCAUGUAGCGGUGAAAUGCUUAGAUAUGACAUAGAACACCCAUUGCGAAGGCAGCUUACUACGGAUAUAUUGACACUGAGGCACGAAAGCGUGGGGAUCAAACAGG
RNAcentral lists this ribosomal RNA (253 nucleotides) under uncultured bacterium. RNAcentral describes it as "partial 16S ribosomal RNA". It matches the Rfam family "Bacterial small subunit ribosomal RNA", at positions 524 to 776 of the family's 1533-position model. The record is from RNAcentral.